CUUACGGGAGGCAGCAGUGGGGAAUAUUGCACAAUGGGCGCAAGCCUGAUGCAGCAACGCCGCGUGAGGGACGACGGCCUUCGGGUUGUAAACCUCUUUUAGUAGGGAAGAAGCGAAAGUGACGGUACCUGCAGAAAAAGCACCGGCUAACUACGUGCCAGCAGCCGCGGUAAUACGUAGGGUGCAAGCGUUGUCCGGAAUUAUUGGGCGUAAAGAGCUCGUAGGCGGUUUGUCGCGUCUGCUGUGAAAACCCGAGGCUCAACCUCGGGCCUGCAGUGGGUACGGGCAGACUAGAGUGCGGUAGGGGAGAUUGGAAUUCCUGGUGUAGCGGUGGAAUGCGCAGAUAUCAGGAGGAACACCGAUGGCGAAGGCAGAUCUCUGGGCCGUAACUGACGCUGAGGAGCGAAAGCAUGGGGAGCGAACAGGAUUAGAUACCCUGGUAGUCCAUGCCGUAAACGUUGGGAACUAGAUGUAGGGACCAUUCCACGGUUUCUGUGUCGCAGCUAACGCAUUAAGUUCCCCGCCUGGGGAUACGGCCGCAAGGCUAAAACUCAAAUGAAUUGACGG
RNAcentral lists this ribosomal RNA (567 nucleotides) under uncultured bacterium. Its description in RNAcentral is "bacterial SSU rRNA". It matches the Rfam family "Bacterial small subunit ribosomal RNA", at positions 338 to 916 of the family's 1533-position model. The record is from RNAcentral.